GAAGUUUAAGUUAACAUUUUAAACCCAGGGCCUUCAAAGCCCUAAAUAGGGGACUAAUUCCUAACUUCUG
This 70-nucleotide transfer RNA is filed under the name Pachydactylus parascutatus. RNAcentral describes it as "tRNA-Trp". The record is from RNAcentral. Lineage: Eukaryota; Metazoa; Chordata; Lepidosauria; Squamata; Gekkonidae.